UACGUAGGGUGCGAGCGUUAAUCGGAAUUACUGGGCGUAAAGCGUGCGCAGGCGGUUAUAUGAGACAGUUGUGAAAUCCCCGGGCUCAACCUGGGAAUUGCAUCUGUGACUGUAUAGCUAGAGUACGGUAGAGGGGGAUGGAAUUCCGCGUGUAGCAGUGAAAUGCGUAGAGAUGUGGAGGAAUACCGAUGGCGAAGGCAGCCCCCUGGGAUAACACUGACGCUCAUGUACGAAAGCGUGGGGAGCAAACAGG
RNAcentral lists this ribosomal RNA (253 nucleotides) under uncultured bacterium. Its description in RNAcentral is "partial 16S ribosomal RNA". It matches the Rfam family "Bacterial small subunit ribosomal RNA", at positions 524 to 776 of the family's 1533-position model. The record is from RNAcentral.